AUACCUUUAUUGGUAGAUUUUCGGUUGAUUGGUCUAAUCCUGGAAUAAAAAGUACUACCAAACGUGGGAUAAGCCAAUCCUGAAUUUAAUCUCGGGAUUAUAAUCCCUUUCCUAAAAAAAACAUCCCUUAUUGUUAUUCUCUAACUAUGAGUGAUUCCUACAUUUUAUUUCCUUCUGAGUUUCUUAGGGUCCUCUUUCUUCAGAACAAUCUGCCUGACCACUGUAAAAGUUGAGGUUAGCUAUAUGCAUUCUGCUCUGUUCAGGUGGUUUUUCCAGUUCUAAAGAGUUGUCCUUUUGAGGCACUAACAAAACAAAUUGUAUUUCAUGGUGGACUUGUUGUCAGCCUUUACUGGAAAGUUGAAAUCUUUGUUAUCAGAAAACUUAAUUAAGGUGAAGAUAUUGUCUUACUGAUGCUCAGGUCGAAGGUUCAUUGCUUGAAAUUCUAGAUAAUAUACUAUUCCUGCGGCUGCUGAAUGAUCGGUUUUUGCUCCUUUGUAAGUUUUUACCAUCUACGUUGCUUCCACCUGCCACUGGGUGGCUGAGUUCUUGGUCUCCUGUUCUGUAAUUAGAGUUCUCGUUUCAUCUGUUCCUGCUAUUUGGUUUCAACAAAAUCAACAUCAACCACAGAAAGAGUUGUGUAUGUGAGAUAUAUGAUGCAAAGAAAAGUAACGGACAGGAGAAGUCCCGAGGAAUUUCAAAUUAUUGGAAGAGCUUGAAAGAGGAGAAAGAGGAAUUGGGGAUGGAACUGUCAACUACAGAAUGGAUGACGCAGAUGAUGUGUACAUGCAAUCAUGGACAGGAACUAUAAUUGGUCCUGCCAACGCAAUGAAAAGAAUCGGGUGGAACAAAGAGGCUUGGUUCUGAGGUGUUGUAUUUUGUAAUUGGAGAAGAACACUGAAGAUGAAAAUGUAUAUAACCUUAUUGCUCAGAUAGUAGCAAAGUUGUCCUAAUAUAUCUGUAAAUAUGUGUAUGGUUUUAUUUGAGAAAGAUGACUGCUUAUUAUGGAAGGGAUUGUUGUUACUUUUCGAACUCUACUGAAUAAUGCCAACUUGUUAUAUAUGAAAAUAAGGGACUAUUUUGUAAC
This is an RNA transcript of Lycium barbarum (goji berry), 1084 nucleotides long. It is a transcript of the gene named ubiquitin-conjugating enzyme E2 variant 1A-like, with no coding region annotated. The transcript has 3 exons. The record is from RefSeq and is a predicted model, not a curated record. NCBI's taxonomy places the organism in Eukaryota, Viridiplantae, Streptophyta, Magnoliopsida, Solanales, Solanaceae.